RNAcentral lists this ribosomal RNA (407 nucleotides) under uncultured microorganism. RNAcentral describes it as "bacterial SSU rRNA". It matches the Rfam family "Archaeal small subunit ribosomal RNA", at positions 330 to 745 of the family's 1478-position model. The record is from RNAcentral.
GCGCAGCAGUCGCGAAACUUUACAAUGUGCGAAGCACGAUAAGGGAACUCUGAGUGCCUCCUAAGGAGGCUGUUCUGAUGUCUAAAAGCAACAGAAGUAAGGGCUGGGUAAGACCGGUGCCAGCCGCCGCGGUAACACCGGCAGCCCAAGUGGUAGCCACGUUUAUUGGGUCUAAAGCGUUCGUAGCCGGCCAGGUAAGUUCCUUGGUAAAUUUAGCCGCUUAACGGUUAAGCUUUCAGGGAAUACUGCUUGGCUUGGGACUGGGAGAGGUCAGAGGUACUCCGGGGGUAGGGGUGAAAUCUAUUAAUCCCUGGGGGACCACCGGUAGCGAAGGCGUCUGACCAGACCAGGUCCGACGGUGAGGGACGAAGGCUAGGGGCGCGAACCGGAUUAGAUACCCGUGUAGU